This 523-nucleotide ribosomal RNA is filed under the name Clostridioides difficile. RNAcentral describes it as "bacterial SSU rRNA". It matches the Rfam family "Bacterial small subunit ribosomal RNA", at positions 1 to 551 of the family's 1533-position model. The record is from RNAcentral. Lineage: Bacteria; Bacillati; Bacillota; Clostridia; Peptostreptococcales; Peptostreptococcaceae.
UUAUUUGAGAGUUUGAUCCUGGCUCAGGAUGAACGCUGGCGGCGUGCCUAACACAUGCAAGUUGAGCGAUUUACUUCGGUAAAGAGCGGCGGACGGGUGAGUAACGCGUGGGUAACCUACCCUGUACACACGGAUAACAUACCGAAAGGUAUGCUAAUACGGGAUAAUAUAUUUGAGAGGCAUCUCUUAAAUAUCAAAGGUGAGCCAGUACAGGAUGGACCCGCGUCUGAUUAGCUAGUUGGUAAGGUAACGGCUUACCAAGGCGACGAUCAGUAGCCGACCUGAGAGGGUGAUCGGCCACAUUGGAACUGAGACACGGUCCAAACUCCUACGGGAGGCAGCAGUGGGGAAUAUUGCACAAUGGGCGAAAGCCUGAUGCAGCAACGCCGCGUGAGUGAUGAAGGCCUUCGGGUCGUAAAACUCUGUCCUCAAGGAAGAUAAUGACGGUACUUGAGGAGGAAGCCCCGGCUAACUACGUGCCAGCAGCCGCGGUAAUACGUAGGGGGCUAGCGUUAUCCGGAUU